UAUAUUAUAGAAAACCCUAUAAUAUAUCCGGGAAUUAUCAACCCUAGGCUUAAAAAAGUUUAAUCCUACUUUCGAUUACAACUCUUUCGUUAUGUUUUGUUUAUACGUGUGUAUGGGUAAAAGUUAAAACGCAAAUAUAGGUCUAAUGGCGACUUAACAUAAUCUAGAGCGUUCUUUUCUAUACGGAAUUUAAAACAGUAAACAUGUGCAAAAGUGAAUCUUAACAAAUUAUUAACAAGUAGUGAAAACGUGGUCCAAGUUUUUCUUAAAAUUAAAAUUCCACAUUGCGAUAAGGCUAACAAAAUUAUUUCUACAAAAAGAAUUGAUAAACUGCAGAUUAUUUGGACUGAAAUCAUUAUAUAUCACUAUUAAUAUCAUAUAUUGCAAGAAGCUGUGGCAAAUCUGAAAUCACUUGGCGUCUAAGUUUCUCCCAAAACUCAUCAAGAUCUCGUUUAAUCCACGAUAACAAGAUUUACCAGGCUGCUAUUAGAUAUUCUUUACGGAUCCAACUUUAUAACCUUGAUCAACUCCAUCAGAUCAAAAAUCGCGUGGCCACAUGUGAUACAUCUACUUCAAGCUCAACUCUGAACAAUUCAACAACUAUAUUUAGCAUAGACUAGUGGCGAUAUAAUCUAGGAACUUAUAAGACCUCAUUUUUAAACUCUUCCACCAAAUACCCAAGAACCAGGGGUCAACACCUUCAUCUCAUAAACCAGAUUUUCAUCACCUAAUCCUCGUGGAGUCAGAUAAAACCAAUUUUACGUUUCAACAUCUUGCUAUAACUUUUCCAAAUUUGCCAUUUAAAACUAUUUAAUUUAAUUGAAUCCGAAAUUAGUCAUUAAAUUUUAUCUACAACUACUUAUAACUACAUUCUCGGAUAUGAAAACUAUAAAUUAACUUAAAAUCUAAAACUAACAUGUUAAAAAGUUAACCUAAAACUAAAUUUACGACAUCAUAAUCUAGAAAUGAACUAUUGAAAUUACAAUAGUACAUUGCUUUUGAUUAAAAUUACAAAUUUAGACCUUAUAAAAAAAGUAUUUUUAAAUUAACACCAUGUGAUUUCUAAAAAUUAAAUAAGCAUUCUCAAAUAUGUCUUUAAAAUUUAUCUAAACUAUCAUAGUAUAGUAAUACAAAAUGGUAUAAAUAGUUGGUUAUUCUGAAUUUUGUUUGAUUUAAUAAUGUCUUAUGAACCAUAUAUUGUAUCAUCAUUCAAAUAUAUAACUCUAUUCUAACUUAAAUAUUUAAAAUUUUGGCUUAAAACCUAGUUUAUCGAAAUCUAAAUCAUAAUUUAAUACUAAUAUCACAAAUUUUAUAACAAUGUUUUAACAAAGUAUGUAAAAACUAAACUUUAUAUAUUAUACCUAAAAACACUUAAAACUAAUAUCACAUUUUAUCACAAUAAGUUAACAUGCAUUAAAAUUAUUAUUCGAAUCCUAAACCUCUACUACUAUGAUUCUAAACAUUUAUGUUAUAUGAAUAUUUACUAAUACUUUGGCAAACUACCUAAUGCAAGAAUAUGUGUAAUUAACGAAACUUUUCUAAACAACACCCACAUCAGCUAGUUCCUGUUGGAGGCCUUCACCAGUUACAACAUAUGAUGCG
RNAcentral lists this long non-coding RNA (1602 nucleotides) under Lucilia cuprina (Australian sheep blowfly). RNAcentral's name for it is "uncharacterized LOC124421119". The record is from RNAcentral. Lineage: Eukaryota; Metazoa; Arthropoda; Insecta; Diptera; Calliphoridae.